GGCCGCCAGUGGGAGUGCGCGUGCGCAGUCCUGGUUUUGGGCGUCGUGAGGGAGGAAGCGGGCAGUGCGUUGCUUCGUGCGUGGCUCAGUGCCUUUCUUUCUUCUGGUGUGCCUCCCGCCCGAGCUUUAGCCAGUGGAGAUGGCAGGGACCUCGGACCAAGUUGGAUGUGGCAGCCAAGCUGUGAGGACACAGGCAGGUGUUUCCUCCAGACAUUUGCUGGAGCAGAGUGAACUGUAUGGAGGCAGAUGCUCUUCACCUUCCCCUCUCCACACCUGCCCAGAUGUUGCUCUUUCAACCAUCAGCACACACCGCAGGAGGUCAAAAAUGUGUGACGAGGACAUCAAGGGACAUUUCACGCUCUUUGUGCCCAUGCAGGGUUUGUCUGGAGCUGCAUCUCAGUAAUGAGCCUGCUGGCAAUCCACUGCUUUUGAGCAGUGACAGCCUGGUGUCACCCUCCCUGUCAAGGUGAAGAGUUCCUGCUGUAUUUGGGAUCCUGCAGUGAAGAAAAACCCCUGCUCAACGCUCUCCUCCACGUUUCUUAGUUCACCAAGCCAGUGCACGUGUUGGAGAUGGCUGUUUGAGUCUGCUUCAAGUGUUGCCAUUAGGUACAAGAGUCAACAUCCCUUUUCUUUCCCUGCUAACUGUCCCUUGGCCGGCCCUGAUCUUCCACACUGAUUAGUUCUCACUUAAACAUCCAGGAGCACAACACUAAGAGGAUUUUGCCAUGGCAGGUUAUCCCCGUGGCAGGGAAGAUGCAAAGCUUCCUUAGCAGUCCUGAUGCGUGCAGUGAUUUCCAUCACAGAAGAGCAAUAAGGAGCAGGGUGACCAGCAUCCUGCUGCCCCUCCCUGUGCAACCCCCACUCCUUUUGCAGGUGAUGGCUGCAGAUUGGGGUUCUUGCACAGAAUUGCCUGUGAGGAGGUGUUCUCCUGCCCCAUGACCACCCUGUGGUUGAGAGGUGACGGAAGGACCACACCAUCCCAGGGAUGCUCUGGUACUGGAAGUGGCUUUUAUUUAGGAGUUGUGUUGGCUUCUCACAAUUUUCUCCUAGGCAAAAGGAUCGUUUUCAGCUUUCAGAGAACUGUAACCAAAGAACAUUUGGGGUUUUCUGGUUCCCCAGAAUAAAACAAUUCCA
RNAcentral lists this long non-coding RNA (1134 nucleotides) under Gallus gallus (chicken). RNAcentral describes it as "long non-coding RNA NONGGAT009171". The record is from RNAcentral. Lineage: Eukaryota; Metazoa; Chordata; Aves; Galliformes; Phasianidae.